Caenorhabditis elegans is the source of this 141-nucleotide non-coding RNA. NCBI's taxonomy places the organism in Eukaryota, Metazoa, Nematoda, Chromadorea, Rhabditida, Rhabditidae. The record is from Ensembl.
GAGUCAAGCGCUCCUCUCGGCGCCUCGCUCCCUUCUCUGUUCAGCCUCUGAUGAUAGAGAGAAGGUGAAGGGGAGACACGCAGAGAACUUCUCUCCUCGUAGGACAACAAUGGCGGAGAGUAAACGAACACACGAACAGUU